Molecule: long non-coding RNA, 2030 nt
Organism: Macaca fascicularis (crab-eating macaque)
Lineage: Eukaryota; Metazoa; Chordata; Mammalia; Primates; Cercopithecidae
Source: Ensembl
UUUUUUUUUUUUUGAGACAGUCUUGCUCUGUUGCCCAGGCUGGAGUGCGGUGGCGCGAUCUUGGCUCACUGCAACCUCUGUCUCCCGGGUUCAAGCGAUUCUCCCGCCUCAGCCUCCCGAGUAGCUGGGAUUACAGGCGUGUGCCACCACACCCGGCUAAUUUUUGUAUUUUUAGUAGAGACAGGGUUUCACCAUGUUGGCCAGGCUGGUCUCGAUCUCCUGACCUCGUGAUCCACCUGCCUCUUCCUCCCAAAGUGCUGGGAUUACAGGCGUGGGCCACUACGCCCGGCCAGAACUAUUUCCAACAUACACAAAGUAAACAGAAUAGUAUAAGAAACCGUCAGGUUUAACAAGGACCAACAUUCUGCUAUUCUUGUUCCGCCCCCACCUUUUUGGAAUCAUUCCUAACAGAAAAUGUCACGAUUUUCCCUGUUUUCAGUCUGUCAAUCUUGUACCAGAAUAGGGUCAAUGAUUUUAACUGCUUUCUUCCACCAGGUAAGAGGAGGCAUUUUUGUGAGAAGAAAUAACACCCAGACACGUCUGCAAAGACUGAACACAUCAGCUGGGUUUUGAGCAGGAACAAAAGCAAUUAGUUUUCUAAGAAAUCCUAAUGACUUAAUUAUAAACAUCAGACCCUGCACUUCUGCUCAAUUGGCCCUUUGUCCCACUGCGGUGUCCUCAGAGACUUGUGCCUGAAGUGAAGCAGUCUCUGUUCCUAAGAUUCAUUUCAGUAAGAGCUGACAGUUAGGCAAUAAAUGUCUGUAAUAAAGUAAUAUAUGAAUUAUUUGAAGGUAGCGAUUCUCAACCGGGGGCAACUCUGCACCCUCCAGGGACACUUGGCAAUGACUCGAGACAUCUCUGAUUGCGACAACAGGGGAGGAGGGGACAGUACUGUUACUCUUAGUAACAGAGUUGCAAAUCCACAGAAGGACAGAGUGGUGCAGGAGUGGCUCCCUUGACAUGGAAAGUCAGCUACCUCACUGGAGUUCCUCUGAAAUGUUGGGGCUUUCCUACCAAACUUCUAACAACCGGUGUAAAACUGACCUUUCAAAGAGAAGAUGAAAAGGAGGGAGACCAGCCGCUGGGUGGGAAAGGCGUCUAGCUCACACCGCCAGAGCAUCUGCAUGGCUACGGUCAGGGCGAGCCGCCAGACACCGCUGCUCAGCAGGCUGAGGGGCCAGCACGACGGCUUCACACCUUGGGGGACUGCUGACCCAGCCUGCCAGGGACGGCGCUGCACGUUCAGCCGUGCACCCAGGCCCCACAUCAGGCCCCCUAGCUCUAGAACCAUGCCUGGGCAGUGCUGCCCAUCGGUCGAGGGAUCACCCUUCGGAGCAGGCUGCCUCUCCGCCAGCCUGCUCCCUUCAGUCUCUCUGCUGAGCCUGGCUCUGCCCAUGCUGCCGGCCAUGCAUCUCCACCUCUUGCCCUUCCCACCUUCAGCUCAACCACUCCAGUCUGAGAGACUCUUCUCAGGCCUCACUGGACCCCUUUAGAAUGGGUGAUCCCCAUCUUGCACAAAGGAUUAUGACAGCUACUGGUGGAUGGCCAAACCCUGCCAGGCAGUGAGAGAAGCCCCCUCAAGAGACCCCCAUCCCCUGCUUUCAUCUGUCCCCAGAUCUCCCAGCAUCAGUCCCCAGUGGGCAAUGUCCAUCCUUCUUGAACCUGGGCUUUCCCUUCCAUAUGCACCAUUUCCAGCCACACAGUAAGAGCUCGAUGAGGCUUGUUAAAUGAACAAAUGCAUCAAAUGAACAAACAAGGCUGAUCAGCUGAUAGGUACUAUGGGGUGUCUGCACUGGAAAACCACUCCCCACCCCACCAGUCUCUAAGGAAACUAUUUUAUAUGCUCAAGUUAUGCCCAGGUGCUCCGGGUGACCAGCCACCGGCUCAUGCCUCCCUGAAGUCCUCAUGAAACAGCAUGAGCAUGGCACGGGUGUCACCUGUUAUGCAAGUAGCCUACGCAUGAACACAGCUGGCUUGCCUUCCUCAAGCAGGGCAGAGGCAGGGGCACAGUACACGGGUUUUACACAGGU